UACAGAGGUGGCAAGCGUUGUUCGGAAUUACUGGGCGUAAAGGGCGCGUAGGCGGCCUUCUAAGUCAGACGUGAAAUCCCCCGGCUUAACCUGGGAACUGCGUCUGAUACUGGAAGGCUUGAGUGCGGGAGAGGGAUGUGGAAUUCCAGGUGUAGCGGUGAAAUGCGUAGAUAUCUGGAGGAACACCGGUGGCGAAGGCGGCAUCCUGGACCAAUACUGACGCUCAUGUGCGAAAGCGUGGGGAGCAAACAGG
This 253-nucleotide ribosomal RNA is filed under the name uncultured bacterium. Its description in RNAcentral is "partial 16S ribosomal RNA". It matches the Rfam family "Bacterial small subunit ribosomal RNA", at positions 524 to 776 of the family's 1533-position model. The record is from RNAcentral.